AACGAACGCUGGCGGCAUGCCUAACACAUGCAAGUCGAACGAUGCUUUCGGGCAUAGUGGCGCACGGGUGCGUAACGCGUGGGAAUCUGCCCUUGGGUUCGGAAUAACAGCGAGAAAUUGCUGCUAAUACCGGAUGAUGUCUUCGGACCAAAGAUUUAUCGCCCAGGGAUGAGCCCGCGUAGGAUUAGCUAGUUGGUGGGGUAAUGGCCUACCAAGGCGACGAUCCUUAGCUGGUCUGAGAGGAUGAUCAGCCACACUGGGACUGAGACACGGCCCAGACUCCUACGGGAGGCAGCAGUAGGGAAUAUUGGACAAUGGGCGCAAGCCUGAUCCAGCAAUGCCGCGUGAGUGAUGAAGGCCUUAGGGUUGUAAAGCUCUUUUACCCGGGAUGAUAAUGACGGUACCGGGAGAAUAAGCUCCGGCUAACUCCGUG
RNAcentral lists this ribosomal RNA (433 nucleotides) under uncultured bacterium. RNAcentral's name for it is "partial 16S ribosomal RNA". It matches the Rfam family "Bacterial small subunit ribosomal RNA", at positions 29 to 507 of the family's 1533-position model. The record is from RNAcentral.